Molecule: long non-coding RNA, 2078 nt
Organism: Equus caballus (horse)
Lineage: Eukaryota; Metazoa; Chordata; Mammalia; Perissodactyla; Equidae
Source: RefSeq, a predicted model, not a curated record
ACAAUAAGCUAUGAUCUAAAUUCAGGGGGGGAAAUCAGAAUAAAGAGAAAAUAGCAAAGGAUUCAUCAAGGAAAUUUAAUUUAAACUGUCUCAAAGAUUAAUGAAAAUUUAGGUUGAUGUAGAAGAUGUUAUGAUUCAGUAUUUGGGUUUGAUCUCAUAAAGUGGCUUAAAGGGAUAAGAAGUAGAUCUUGGAGCAAAGAGACUUGAAGUAGGAAGUCCAAAAGGGAAGAUGUUGUUCUAUUGCACAUGGGAUAUUGGCUGCUGUCUGCUUCCUUUAUGAAUGAGAGUAUCUAUAGCAACGUCUACAGAGUGUCUAUAGCCUAUUCCUGUCUCACCAUUGAUGACAUGUCCUGAGGUAUGAGGAAUACUCUUCAGAAACUAUGGGCAAGGAGACUCAUCCACAAAGGACCACAUUUGGAUAAUGAAAUUGUGGACUUUGACCUGUUGCCACUGUGGAAUAAUACUUGUGGGUGUUGGAGUAGGAAUUAGUAUAUUUCUCAAAUGGCAGAAACGGGUUAUUUUGGCCAAAGUGUAGAUAAUUGCCUAUCGUAUUCAUCAAGAUAGGUGUAAUAAGAUUUCCCAUGCUACAAGUUCCACUAAUAGUGUGACAUUGACACAUCCUGUUGAACCUAUAGGCACACAUUUUCUCCCUUUGAAUCUGGGUUGGCCAGGGAUUGUGAUUAAAGUACUGAGGCUAUAAGAGGUCAUAAAGGCUGUAUGACUACUGCCUGGUACUCUUGGAGGAAGUAUAGAUGGAGUCAAGCAGCCACAUGUCUAGGUUGCAGCCUCAGCUGAGGACCCAAACAACAUCUAGCAUUGACCACCUCUGAGAUGACUCUAGCCCCAGUCAUCAUCCAACUGCAUCUAUGUGAGAAAUCCAAAGCAGGAACCUUGGGUGAAAUCUGUUCCUGACCCGCUGCCACUGAACCUGUCUGAGAUCCCAGAGUCCCGGUUGGAAACUGAAUAGAUCAGGAGCUUUGGAGACUGGCCCGGCUUCUGCAGGAAAGAAUCACCUGACAGGCCUCUCUGACUUAUGGAGACAACACAUUCCACCUCGAGGAGUCCUGGUCUGGCCCUCGUACCAGGUGAAAUAUAAUUCAGCCAGCUUUGAUGGGGCCCAGAGCAGCAAAGAGCUCUGCACCAGGUGCAGCCUGCCAUGUCAACAGCCCUGUCACUAGGGCCUGUGAAGACGCAGAAGAUUUAACGACAUUAACCACCUGGACAUCACUGACGCUUAGAGACACUCCACCGAAUAUCAGUAAAAUACAUAUUCCUUUCAGAACAUUUGCUAAGAUAGACCACAUUGUGGGCCUCGAGGACUCAGAGAUGACAUUGUUUGUAUUGUGGACAGUAGAACCGUUGACAAAAUCAUUUGCAAGAUGACCAAGAAGAUACUUGUCACAUCCAAACUGAAGAACAAGACGCUUUCUUAGGACCUUAGAAGAUGAACUGUGUGUUGGAAGCAAAAUCACUCUGAAUCUUUGGAGAAAGACAAUCGUAUUAAAAGAGGGAAGAGCUCUUUGUUCUCUCAGAAUCAGCAACAGCAUAUUAAGAACAAAGCACAUUGGACAUAUAAGUAACUCUAGAAGAGAAAGACAUUGAGAGUUAUUAAUUAACCAAGGGUGCAUAUGCAUGAUAUCACCUCACUGAUUGCACUUCUAAGCUUAGGCAGCUGAUGAGUCUGGAUAGUUGAGUGACACAGGAUGUUCACACUGAUGCUGUCCUAUCCUCCAAGGCAAAGGGAAGGUUGAUCCUCAGCAAGGAAGGAGCAGACACAGACAUGACGCCAGUGAUACAUUCUGAGCUCAGGGCCUUCAGUGGCUCAUUUUUCCAAUAUCUUGUUUCUGCUUUUGGGUUGUUCAAGGGUAGGAAGUAAAAUUAUUUACCUCCAAGGAAGUUAAUCACGGUGGUUUUCAUAUUAUUGAGAUAAAGAGAGAAAUUAUUCUAUCAACCAGAGAAUAGAUAAAUAAGAUAGUUUCUAUCAAUGGUAUGAAAUAUCAGGCACACAGUAAAAAGGAUAUUGAAAGGGAGACUAUUCACAGUAUGAUCAUUGUAAAUAAAAUGCUGUGAAAUAUGGA